GUGCGGGAUGACGGCCUUCGGGUUGUAAACCGCUUUCGUGGGGGAAGAGGAAGGACGGUACCUCAGGAAUAAGUCUCGGCUAACUACGUGCCAGCAGCCGACGGUAAAACGUAGGAGGCGAACGUUAUCCGGAUUUACUGGGUGUAAAGCGCGUGCAGGCGGUCAUGUAAGUCGUGUGUGAAAGCGCCCAGGCUCAACCGGGCGAGGACGGACGAAACUGCGUGACUGGAGGCAGGUAGAGGCGUGCGGAAUUCCGGGUGUAGUGGUGAAAUGCGUAGAUAUCCGGAGGAACACCAGUGGCGAAGGCGGCGCGCUGGACCUGACCUGACGCUAAGACGCGAAAGCAUGGGGAGCGAACGGGAUUAGAAACCCCGGUAGUCCAUGCCGUAAACGAUGCGUACUAGGUGUUGCGGCGUCAAGCUGCAGUGCCGAAGCAAACGUGAUAAGUACGCCACCUGGGGACUACGGCCGCAAAGGUUA
This 480-nucleotide ribosomal RNA is filed under the name uncultured Chloroflexota bacterium. RNAcentral's name for it is "bacterial SSU rRNA". It matches the Rfam family "Bacterial small subunit ribosomal RNA", at positions 401 to 896 of the family's 1533-position model. Lineage: Bacteria; Bacillati; Chloroflexota. The record is from RNAcentral.